Molecule: ribosomal RNA, 253 nt
Filed under: uncultured bacterium
Lineage: Bacteria
Description: partial 16S ribosomal RNA
Rfam family: Bacterial small subunit ribosomal RNA
Source: RNAcentral
UACAGAGGGUGCAAGCGUUGUUCGGAAUUAUUGGGCGUAAAGGGAGUGUAGGCGGUUGGGAAAGUCUUCUGUGAAAUCUACGGGCUCAGCCUGUAACGUGCAGAGGAAACUACUCGGCUUGAGUGUCGGAGAGGAUAGGGGAAUACCCGGUGUAGAGGUGAAAUUCGUAGAGAUCGGGUGGAACACCAGUGGCGAAGGCGCCUGUCUGGCUGACAACUGACGCUGAGACUCGAAAGCAUGUGGAGCAAACAGG